Molecule: transfer RNA, 72 nt
Organism: Camelus ferus (Wild Bactrian camel)
Lineage: Eukaryota; Metazoa; Chordata; Mammalia; Artiodactyla; Camelidae
Rfam family: tRNA
About the family: Transfer RNA (tRNA) molecules are approximately 80 nucleotides in length.
Source: Rfam
GAGGGUACAGCUCAGUGGUAAGGUGCAUUCCUGGCAUGCACGAGGUCCUGGGUUCAAUCCCCAGUACCUCCA